This 252-nucleotide ribosomal RNA is filed under the name uncultured bacterium. RNAcentral's name for it is "partial 16S ribosomal RNA". It matches the Rfam family "Bacterial small subunit ribosomal RNA", at positions 524 to 776 of the family's 1533-position model. The record is from RNAcentral.
UACGUAGGGACCGAGCGUUGUCCGGAAUCAUUGGGCGUAAAGAGCGUGUAGGCGGCUAUUUAAGUCCUGCGUGAAAUCCUGCGGCUCAACCGCAGACGGUCGUGGGAAACUGGAUGGCUAGAGUGCGGGAGAGGCGAGUGGAAUUCCUGGUGUAGCGGUGAAAUGCGUAGAUAUCGGAAGGAACACCAGUGGCGAAAGCGGCUUCCUGGUCCAGCACCGACGUCAGGCACGAAAGCGUGGGGAGCAAACAGG